RNAcentral lists this ribosomal RNA (461 nucleotides) under uncultured bacterium. Its description in RNAcentral is "partial 16S ribosomal RNA". It matches the Rfam family "Bacterial small subunit ribosomal RNA", at positions 28 to 507 of the family's 1533-position model. The record is from RNAcentral.
GACGAACGCUGGCGGCGUGCUUAACACAUGCAAGUCGAACGGAAAGGCCCUUCGGGGUACUCGAGUGGCGAACGGGUGAGUAACACGUGGGUGAUCUGCUCUGCACUUUGGGAUAAGCCUGGGAAACUGGGUCUAAUACCGAAUAGGACCACGCGCUUCAUGGUGUGUGGUGGAAAGCUUUUGCGGUGUGGGAUGGGCCCGCGGCCUAUCAGCUUGUUGGUGGGGUAAUGGCCUACCAAGGCGACGACGGGUAGCCGGCCUGAGAGGGUGACCGGCCACAGUGGGCUUGGGGAGGGGCCCGGACUCCAAAGGGGGGAAGGGGUGGGAAUAUUGCACAAUGGGCGCAAGCCUGAUGCAGCGACGCCGCGUGAGGGAUGACGGCCUUCGGGUUGUAAACCUCUUUCAAUAGGGACGAAGCGCAAGUGACGGUACCUAUAGAAGAAGCACCGGCCAACUACGUG